RNA transcript from Gallus gallus (chicken), 1156 nucleotides. It is a transcript of the gene named S-antigen protein-like, with no coding region annotated. The record is from RefSeq and is a predicted model, not a curated record. The transcript is spliced from 3 exons. NCBI's taxonomy places the organism in Eukaryota, Metazoa, Chordata, Aves, Galliformes, Phasianidae.
CAGGGGGUGGCCCUGGGGACACAAAGGUCCUGGCAGGGGUAGAUCCAGGUGGCUUUGGGGACACGGUGGCUUUGGGAUGCAGGGGGUUUUGGGGUCCCUGGUGGCCUUGGGGACACAAAGGUCCUGGCAGGGGGUGGCUCAGGGGACACAAAGGUCCUGGCAGGAGCAGACUCAGGUGGCCUUGGGGACACAAAGGUCCUGGCAGGAGGUGGCCUUGGGGACACAAAGGUCCUGGCAGGUGUAGAUCCAGGUGGCUUUGGGGACACGGUGGCUUUGGGAUGCAAGAGGUUUUGGGGUCCCUGGUGGCCUUGGGGACACAAAGGUCCUGGCAGGGGGUGGCUCAGGGGACACAAAGGUCCUGGCAGGAACAGAUCCAGGUGGCCUUGGGGACACAAAGGUCCUGGCAGGAGCAGACCCAGGUGGCUUUGGGGACACGGUGGCUUUGGGAUGCGGGAGGUUUUGGGGUCCCUGGUGGCCUUGGGGACACAAAGGUCCUGGCAGGAGCAGACCCAGGUGGCUUUGGGGACACGGUGGCUUUGGGAUGCAGGAGGUUUUGGGGUCCCUGGUGGCCUUGGGGACACAAAGGUCCUGGCAGGGGGGGGGCUCUGGGGACACAAAGGUCCUGGCAGGAGGUGGCUCAGGGGACACAAAGGUCCUGGCAGGAGCAGACCCAGGUGGCUUUGGGGACACAAAGGUCGUGGUAGGAGGUGGCUUUGGGGACAGAAAGGUCCUGGCAGGAGCAGACCCAGGUGGCUUUGGGGACACGGUGGCUUUGGGAUGCGGGAGGUUUUGGGGUCCCUGGUGGCUCUGGGGACACAAAGGUCCUGGCUGAAGGUGGCUCAGGGGACACAAAGGUCCUGGCAGGAGCAGACCCAGGUGGCUUUGGGGACACGGUGGCUUUGGGAUGCAGGGGGCUUUGGGGUCCCUGGUGGCUCAGGGGACACAAAGGUCCUGGCAGGAGCAGACCCAGGUUGCCUUGGGGACACAAAGGUCCUGGCAGGAGCCGAUCCAUGUGGCUCUGGGGACCCAAACAUCCCUCUGGGCUGAAAUCCUUGCGCCUGGGUGCCUUUGGGGACGGGGUGUCACCGCGUCCCCCCAUGUUUGGGGUGGCCUUUGGGGCCGGUGGUGGCCUCGGGGUCCCAGACUCGUGGUGUCC